This 75-nucleotide ribosomal RNA is filed under the name Deltaproteobacteria bacterium. RNAcentral describes it as "partial 16S ribosomal RNA". It matches the Rfam family "Bacterial small subunit ribosomal RNA", at positions 1 to 73 of the family's 1533-position model. The record is from RNAcentral. Lineage: Bacteria; Pseudomonadati; Myxococcota; Myxococcia.
UUUAACUGGAGAGUUUGAUCCUGGCUCAGAACGAACGCUGGCGGCGUGCCUAACACAUGCAAGUCGAACGAGAAA